RNAcentral lists this transfer RNA (72 nucleotides) under Sphaerodactylus townsendi. RNAcentral's name for it is "tRNA-Ala". It matches the Rfam family "tRNA". From Rfam's summary of the family: Transfer RNA (tRNA) molecules are approximately 80 nucleotides in length. The record is from RNAcentral. Lineage: Eukaryota; Metazoa; Chordata; Lepidosauria; Squamata; Sphaerodactylidae.
GGGGCUGUGGCUCAGUGGGAGAGCAUCCACAUGGCACAUAGAAGGUCGCUGGUUCAAUCCCCGGCAUCUCCA